RNAcentral lists this ribosomal RNA (497 nucleotides) under uncultured bacterium. RNAcentral's name for it is "partial 16S ribosomal RNA". It matches the Rfam family "Bacterial small subunit ribosomal RNA", at positions 28 to 507 of the family's 1533-position model. The record is from RNAcentral.
GACGAACGCUGGCGGCGUGCCUAAUACAUGCAAGUUGAGCGCUGAAGGUUGGUACUUGUACCAACUGGAUGAGCAGCGAACGGGUGAGUAACGCGUGGGGAAUCUGCCUUUGAGCGGGGGACAACAUUUGGAAACGAAUGCUAAUACCGCAUAAAAACUUUAAACACAAGUUUUAAGUUUGAAAGAUGCAAUUGCAUCACUCAAAGAUGAUCCCGCGUUGUAUUAGCUAGUUGGUGAGGUAAAGGCUCACCAAGGCGAUGAUACAUAGCCGACCUGAGAGGGUGAUCGGCCACAUUGGGACUGAGACACGGCCCAAACUCCUACGGGAGGCAGCAGUAGGGAAUCUUCGGCAAUGGACGAAAGUCUGACCGAGCAACGCCGCGUGAGGGAAGAAGGUUUUCGGAUCGUAAAACUCUGUUGGUAGAGAAGAACGUUGGUGAGAGUGCAAAGCUCAUCAAGCGACGGUAACUACCCAGAAAGGGACGGCUAACUACGUG